RNAcentral lists this ribosomal RNA (435 nucleotides) under uncultured Acidobacterium sp. RNAcentral describes it as "bacterial SSU rRNA". It matches the Rfam family "Bacterial small subunit ribosomal RNA", at positions 958 to 1385 of the family's 1533-position model. The record is from RNAcentral. Lineage: Bacteria; Pseudomonadati; Acidobacteriota; Terriglobia; Terriglobales; Acidobacteriaceae.
AACGCGAAGAACCUUACCUGGGCUCGAACGGCUUCAGACCGUCGUGGAAACACGAUCUUCCCCUUAAAAGGACUGGAGUCGAGGUGCUGCAUGGCUGUCGUCAGCUCGUGUCGUGAGAUGUUGGGUUAAGUCCCGCAACGAGCGCAACCCUUGUCCUGUGUUGCCACUCCCCCUUAAAAGGGAAGCACUCUCAGGAGACCGCCAGCGAUAAGCUGGAGGAAGGUGGGGAUGAUGUCAAGUCAUCAUGGCCUUUAUGUCCAGGGCUACACACGUGCUACAAUGGGCGGUACAAAGCGCUGCAAACCCGCGAGGGGGAGCUAAUCGCAAAAAACCGUUCUCAGUUCGGAUCGCAGGCUGCAACUCGCCUGCGUGAAGCUGGAAUCGCUAGUAAUGGCGUAUCAGAAUGAUGCCGUGAAUACGUUCCCGGGCCUUGUA